Drosophila gunungcola (fruit fly) is the source of this 1938-nucleotide long non-coding RNA. RefSeq lists it as uncharacterized. The record is from RefSeq and is a predicted model, not a curated record. The transcript is spliced from 2 exons. NCBI's taxonomy places the organism in Eukaryota, Metazoa, Arthropoda, Insecta, Diptera, Drosophilidae.
GCAUUUUUUAUAAGGGGUUACAUCAUCAUUUUUUGUCAAAAUUUGGUCAGUUUAAAAAUUUUUAUCUGUGAAUGCCAUUUUAUUAGAAAUUUUAUGACGAAUCCAACGAUGCAUGACAUUCUAACUUGGGACCAUUAUUUCCUAGAGUUUUGAUACAAAAACUGAUUUUUUACGGUGUUUUUUUGGGUUUUUGGAGAAAUAAGAAAAUAAAACAUUUCCAAAGAGUCUUUUUGAUGUAACUUGGCCAAAAUAAGACGCAUAGCCAUAACGGUGACUGUUUUGUACAGCUGGCAACCUGUAUUAUCCAUCCCCGAUCGACCAAGAAUAAUUCGAUUUGUUUUGGUUGAAAAAUUGAUUUUUAAAAGGUAUUGUUUUGAAAAAUUCAUUUCCUGCCCAAUUUCUGCAUUUUUUAUAAGGGGUUACAUCAUCAUUUUUUGUCAAAAUUUGGUCAGUUUAAAAAUUUUUAUCUGUGAAUGCCAUUUUAUUAGAAAUUUUAUGACGAAUCCAACGAUGCAUGACAUUCUAACUUGGGACCAUUAUUUCCUAGAGUUUUGAUACAAAAACUGAUUUUUUACGGUGUUUUUUUGGGUUUUUGGAGAAAUAAGAAAAUAAAACAUUUCCAAAGAGUCUUUUUGAUGUAACUUGGCCAAAAUAAGACGCAUAGCCAUAACAGUGACUGUUUUGUACAGCUGGCAACCUGUAUUAUCCAUCCCGAUCGACCAAGAAAAAUUCGAUUUGUUUUGGUUGAAAAAUCGAUUUUUAAAAGGCAUUGUUUUGAAAAAUUCAUUUCCUGCCCAAUUUCUGCAUUUUUUAUAAGGGGUUACAUCAUCAUUUUUUGUCAAAAUUUGGUCAGUUUAAAAAUUUUUAUCUGUGAAUGCCAUUUUAUUAGAAAUUUUAUGACGAAUCCAACGAUGCAUGACAUUCUAACUUGGGACCAUUAUUUCCUAGAGUUUUGAUACAAAAACUGAUUUUUUACGGUGUUUUUUUGGGUUUUUGGAGAAAUAAGAAAAUAAAACAUUUCCAAAGUGUCUUUUUGAUGUAACUUGGCCAAAAUAAGACGCAUAGCCAUAACAGUGACUGUUUUGUACAGCUGGCAACCUAUAUUAUCCAUCCCCGAUCGACCAAGAAAAAUUCGAUUUGUUUUGGUUGAAAAAUCGAUUUUUAAAAGGCAUUGUUUUGAAAAAUUCAUAUCCUGUCCAAUUUCUGCAUUUUUUAUAAGGGGUUACAUCAUAAUUUUUUGUCAAAAUUUGGUCAGUUUAAAAAUUUUUAUCUGUGAAUGCCAUUUUAUUAGAAAUUUUAUGACGAAUCCAACGAUGCAUGACAUUCUAACUUGGGACCAUUAUUUCCUAGAGUUUUGAUACAAAAACUGAUUUUUUACGGUGUUUUUUUGGGUUUUUGGAGAAAUAAGAAAAUAAAACAUUUCCAAAGAGUCUUUUUGAUGUAACUUGGCCAAAAUAAGACGCAUAGCCAUAACGGUGACUGUUUUGUACAGCUGGCAACCUAUAUUAUCCAUCCCCGAUCGACCAAGAAAAAUUCGAUUUGUUUUGGUUGAAAAAUCGAUUUUUAAAAGGCAUUGUUUUGAAAAAUUCAUAUCCUGUCCAAUUUCUGCAUUUUUUAUAAGGGGUUACAUCAUCAUUUUUUGUCAAAAUUUGGUCAGUUUAAAAAUUUUUAUCUGUGAAUGCCAUUUUAUUAGAAAUUUUAUGACGAAUCCAACGAUGCAUGACAUUCUAACUUGGGACCAUUAUUUCCUAGAGUUUUGAUACAAAAACUGAUUUUUUACGCUGUGACUGCCAUUUUGUUAGAAAUUUUAUGACGAAUCCAAAAAUGCAUGACAUUCUAACUUGGGACGAUUAUUUCAUAGAGUUUUGAUACAAAAACUGAUUUUUUACGGAGUUUUUUUUUGGGUUUUUGGAGAAAUAAGAAAAUAAAACAUUUCCA